GACGAACGCUGGCGGUCCGCUUAACACAUGCAAGUCGAACGGUAAGGCCCUUUCGGGGGUACACGAGUGGCGAACGGGUGAGUAACACGUGAGUAACCUGCCCUCAUCUCUGGGAUAACAGUCGGAAACGGUUGCUAAUACUGGAUAUGAGCUUGCAAGGCAUCUUGUGGGUUGGAAAGAUUUUUUUUGGUUGGGGAUGGACUCGCGGCCUAUCAGCUUGUUGGUGAGGUAGUGGCUCACCAAGGCUUCGACGGGUAGCCGGCCUGAGAGGGCGACCGGCCACAUUGGGACUGAGAUACGGCCCAAACUCCUACGGGAGGCAGCAGUGGGGAAUAUUGCACAAUGGACGGAAGUCUGAUGCAGCAACGCCGCGUGCGGGAUGACGGCCUUCGGGUUGUAAACCGCUUUCAAUUGUGACGAAGCUUUUUUGUGACGGUAGCAGUAGAAGAAGCACCGGCUAACUACGUG
This 468-nucleotide ribosomal RNA is filed under the name uncultured bacterium. Its description in RNAcentral is "partial 16S ribosomal RNA". It matches the Rfam family "Bacterial small subunit ribosomal RNA", at positions 28 to 507 of the family's 1533-position model. The record is from RNAcentral.